GACCUUUCCUUGUCUUUAGGUGCCCUCUCCCUGCUCCAGAGCCCAGAACUUCGCUCUCUCUUGAACAUUUAUGGUGUGCUAACUGCUAACAGCUGCUUCCCCUUCACUCACAACCCCAAGGCUCCCAGACCUGUGCCGGCACCCACCCAGAGCAUCUUCCCAGGGACCUCUGUGUCUUCACCCCUGCAGGGCCUGCACAGAGACCGGCCCACACCCUUCCCACGGGAGGCCUUUCCAUUCUCACCGUCUUUGCCAGGCCCCCAGCCAGCCCUGCGUGUGUUUUCUCUCUGUAAUGUUCCCUGGUGCUCUAUGGUGCAUGUACCACAUGCUCAACACUGCUGGGGACUGGCCUCUCCCUGUUGCCACCGUUCUGCCCGCAGCCAGAUGAGGCAGCUGCUCUCUCACUCGUUGCAGGCGGAAACCCAAGUCAGAGCCUGCAGGUUCCUGACCACCCAGCAGUGGAGGCUGGGCUCACCCUCGAUCGUGUCUCUUGCCCCAGCAUUUUCUGCUCAGGGCUGCCCACUCGGGCCUUGUGAUAAAGGAAGAGAAUGGAGACCGAGGGAGCAGACCCAGCUCUGAGGAAGCAGACACCCGGUGAAUCCUAAAGGAAAUCAACCCUGAUUACUCAUUGGAAGGACUGACUGAUGCUGUAGAUGAAGCUCUGAUAAUUUAGCCACCUGGUACAAAGAGCCGACUCACUGGAAAAUUCCCUGAUGCUGGGAAAGAUUGAGGGCAGGAGAAGGGGACGAUAGAGGACAAGAUGGUUGGAUGGCAUCACUGACUCNNNNNNNNNNNNNNNNNNNAAGCUCUGGGAGUUGGUGAUGAACAGGGAGGCCUGGUGUGCUGCAGUCCACGGGGUCGCAAAGAGUCCGACACGACUGAGCGACUGAACAACAAUCAGGCCCCCGGAGCCUGUCCCCAGGCACAGCCAGCUCUCCCGGGGCCUCCCCUGCUGUGUCCCGCAGCUCCACCCAGGAAGGGAGGCUGUGUGACCUCCUGUGCAGCAUGGAGGGCCCUUCAGGAACAGGCUGACAGCAGAGGAGACAGGGAACCAGUGGGAGAAGGACCUCCUCCAGAGCCCCACC
This 1085-nucleotide long non-coding RNA is filed under the name Capra hircus (goat). Its description in RNAcentral is "lncRNA (ENSCHIG00010008599.1)". Lineage: Eukaryota; Metazoa; Chordata; Mammalia; Artiodactyla; Bovidae. The record is from RNAcentral.